GAAGCAGUCCUGCGUCUUACCAUGACAGUCGAGGGGAACGGCAUUUAGUGCUUGCACUGAAUGGACGUCGACCGGCGCACGGGUGAGUAACGCGUAUCCAACCUUCCCAUUACUGUGGGAUAACCUGCCGAAAGGCAGACUAAUACCUCAUAGUCUUCGAUGACGGCAUCAGAUUUGAAGUAAAGAUUUAUCGGUAAUGGAUGGGGAUGCGUCUGAUUAGCUUGUUGGCGGGGUAACGGCCCACCAAGGCAACGAUCAGUAGGGGUUCUGAGAGGAAGGUCCCCCACAUUGGAACUGAGACACGGUCCAAACUCCUACGGGAGGCAGCAGUGAGGAAUAUUGGUCAAUGGACGGAAGUCUGAACCAGCCAAGUAGCGUGCAGGAAGACGGCCCUAUGGGUUGUAAACUGCUUUUGUAUGGGGAUAAAGUCAAUCACGUGUGAUUGUUUGCAGGUACCAUACGAAUAAGGACCGGCUAAUUCCGUGCCAGCAGCCGCGGUAAUACGGAAGGUUCGGGCGUUAUCCGGAUUUAUUGGGUUUAAAGGGAGCGUAGGCCGGAGAUUAAGUGUGUUGUGAAAUGUAGACGCUCAACGUCUGACUUGCAGCGCAUACUGGUUUCCUUGAGUACGCACAACGUUGGCGGAAUUCGUCGUGUAGCGGUGAAAUGCUUAGAUAUGACGAAGAACUCCGAUUGCGAAGGCAGCUGACGGGAGCGCAACUGACGCUGAAGCUCGAAGGUGCGGGUAUCGAACAGGAUUAGAUACCCUGGUAGUCCGCACAGUAAACGAUGGAUGCCCGCUGUUGGUACCUAGUAUCAGCGGCUAAGCGAAAGCAUUAAGCAUCCCACCUGGGGAGUACGCUGGCAACGGUGAAACUCAAAGGAAUUGACGG
RNAcentral lists this ribosomal RNA (890 nucleotides) under uncultured bacterium. RNAcentral describes it as "bacterial SSU rRNA". It matches the Rfam family "Bacterial small subunit ribosomal RNA", at positions 32 to 916 of the family's 1533-position model. The record is from RNAcentral.